GAAAGCCUGUUAUACUACUAACAUCUCCUGAAUGCAACUCAGACACUUUAAUUAAGCUAAAACUUC
RNAcentral lists this transfer RNA (66 nucleotides) under Calumma gastrotaenia. Its description in RNAcentral is "tRNA-Ala". The record is from RNAcentral. Lineage: Eukaryota; Metazoa; Chordata; Lepidosauria; Squamata; Chamaeleonidae.